This 77-nucleotide transfer RNA is filed under the name Planctomycetota bacterium. RNAcentral describes it as "Planctomycetes bacterium (bioreactor metagenome) tRNA-Trp". It matches the Rfam family "tRNA". Rfam says of the family: Transfer RNA (tRNA) molecules are approximately 80 nucleotides in length. Their secondary structure includes four short double-helical elements and three loops (D, anti-codon, and T loops). The record is from RNAcentral. Lineage: Bacteria; Pseudomonadati; Planctomycetota.
AGGGGAGUAGCUCCAACGGUUAGAGCGACUGAUUCCAAAUCAGUAGGUUCUGGGUUCGAAUCCCAGCUCCCCUGCCA